Long non-coding RNA from Galeopterus variegatus (Sunda flying lemur), 1192 nucleotides. RefSeq lists it as uncharacterized. NCBI's taxonomy places the organism in Eukaryota, Metazoa, Chordata, Mammalia, Dermoptera, Cynocephalidae. The transcript is spliced from 2 exons. The record is from RefSeq and is a predicted model, not a curated record.
CUCUAUUCUAUCUCUUUGCUUCAUCACUUUCUGAAGUUUGCCCUUAUACUUGUCAUAAAAGCUACCUCACCAUGCCAUCUACAUUCCAGGUUGUGAAAAGGAGAAAGAGGAAAUCUGCCAUCAAUGAGGACAUCAUGAAGAAGUUUCAGAAAUUGCAAUUAUCACUUCCACACACAUCCCAUAAGUCUAAACUUAGUCAUGUGAACUGCACCCAUCUACAUAAGAGGGAAGGGAAUGUGAUCUCUAACUGUGAAGCCACGUGCCCAGCUAAGAAUCAAGCCUAUUGUUAAAGAGGAAAGGGAGAAAGGGCACUCGCAACCAGUUCCAGCUGAACAACAUUGAGAAGUGCUGUCGUGUCUCUUUGGGCAGCCAUCAGGAAAUCCUUCACAGUAUAUUAGAAGUCAAGACUCUGGUGGAUGGAAGAAGAUGCAAUCUACUCUAUUUUUGAAACUUCAAGAACAUCAUUUCUGGUCACUGUCAGUCUUUGGUGUUAGAAGUCACGUUCAUUAGCCAAGCUUUAUUCCCAUUAUCUAAAACAUUUUAUAUUCUGUCGAUGCUGAGAACAGUAAUAGAGAAAAUAUUUCAACAAAUAUGACUAAACCACACUUAAAAUUUUAUGAAUAUGUUAAGAGAAGGCUUACAUUAUUUCUCUAUAUUUAUAAGGGAUGGCAGUUUUACAAAGAUUUUGAACUUUUGGAGAAUUUUAUAAUUAAAAAUUUUAUUAUGCGUAUAAUUGUUACUAAGUACAUCUUUAUCCUGAAUAAUUUUAUUAUACAUUCAAUUAGUAUUUUGCAUGCAAAAUUAGUGGCAGUUUCAAUAAUAAUAUAAUAUGCCUUUCCCCUGGAAAAAUACCCCACAUCAAGAAUUUGUAGGAUUUCAGUAAAUAUACCUGAAACAAACAAUGCCGUUACAUUUCUGAAUAGCAAAUAUAAAGAAGUGAUGAAAUUUAAAUCUUAAAGUGUUAGUUAAGAUUCUGAAUUUCAAAAUAGACUAUGACUUUGACAUUCAUUUAAAUAGCUAAUCUGGUUAUUCAAUACUACACAAAUCUGUUUGGUGAAAGAAUACAAAAGAAACAUAUUUGAAGGAGUUUCAUGAAUAGAACACGUAAUCCAAGUAGAAAAUCUUACUCCCAAAAGAUUGUGAAAUUUACUUGCUUUAAAUCACUUCUGAAAUAAGGAUAUAUAAAAAUAUA